CGAACGCUGGCGGCGUGCUUCACACAUGCAAGUCGAACGGAAAGGCCCUGCUUUUGUGGGGUGCUCGAGUGGCGAACGGGUGAGUAACACGUGAGUAACCUGCCCUUGACUUUGGGAUAACUUCAGGAAACUGGGGCUAAUACCGGAUAGGAGCUCCUGCUGCAUGGUGGGGGUUGGAAAGUUUCGGCGGUUGGGGAUGGACUCGCGGCUUAUCAGCUUGUUGGUGGGGUAGUGGCUUACCAAGGCUUUGACGGGUAGCCGGCCUGGGAGGGUGACCGGCCACAUUGGGACUGAGAUACGGCCCAGACGCCUACGGGAGGCAGCAGUGGGGAAUAUUGCACAAUGGGCGGAAGCCUGAUGCAGCAACGCCGCGUGCGGGAUGACGGCCUUCGGGUUGUAAACCGCUUUCGCCUGUGACGAAGCGUGAGUGACGGUAAUGGGUAAAGAAGCACCGGCUAACUACGUG
RNAcentral lists this ribosomal RNA (466 nucleotides) under uncultured bacterium. RNAcentral's name for it is "partial 16S ribosomal RNA". It matches the Rfam family "Bacterial small subunit ribosomal RNA", at positions 30 to 507 of the family's 1533-position model. The record is from RNAcentral.